CGGCCAGUGAUGUCAUAAGGGGUGUCCUGAGCAGAAGGUUCCAGAAGCCUGAAUUAUGGAGUUGUGUUGGGUGGGAACCCAUCUACCACCAUCACCCUGGCUAGACUGAGGGGUGACCAGAGCAAGAAGGGGACAACACACACACACACAUACACACACACACACACACACACACACACACACACACACACACGCUUCUGGGACCACCCACCACUGACCAACUCUGUGGAAGGAGAACUACCUUGCUGACCAGAUGUCUCCAUCUGUGACACCUGGCCACCUUGUGAAAGUUGCACUGUGACAAAUACUUCUUGUGAAUCUGCAAAGGCUGGACCACCAAUGACUCAAGAGAAGAAGGCGGAAGACCUUGAGAGAGGCACAGACGCCACCUCAGCUGUUCCCAGGCUAUGGAGCACCCACUGUGAUGGAGAAGUGCUCCUGAGGUUGUCCAAACAUGGUCCAGGCCAUGAGACCCCGAUGACCAUCCCUGAGCUGUUCCAGGAAUCUGCUGAGCGAUUCAGUGCUUAUCCGGCCCUAGCCUCAAAGAACGGCAAAAAGUGGGACACGCUGACAUUCAGCCAGUACUAUGAAAUGUGUCGAAAGGCAGCCAAGUCUCUGAUCAAGCUCGGCCUGCAGCGCUUCCAGUGUGUCGGCAUCCUGGGCUUUAACUCGGUCGAGUGGGUCGUUACUGCUCUGGGCACUAUCUUGGCUGGGGGCCUCUGUGUUGGUAUUUAUGCCACCAACUCGGCUGAGGCCUGCCAGUACGUCAUCCAGCAGGCCAACGUGAGUAUCUUGAUAGUGGAGAAUGACCAACAGCUGCAGAAAAUCCUGUUGAUUCCACCAGACAAGAUGGAGACCGUGAAAGCCAUUGUGCAGUACAAGCUGCCCUUGAUGGAAAGCAUGGCAAACCUGUACUCAUGGAAUGACUUCAUGGAGCUAGGGAAUGACAUCCCAAAUAUCCAGCUGGAUCGGGUCAUCCUGAGCCAGAAGGCCAACCAGUGUGCUGUCAUCCUCUACACCUCUGGGACCACAGGGACCCCCAAAGGCGUGCUGCUGAGCCAUGACAAUAUCACAUGGACGGCAGGGGCGAUGUCGCAAGAGAUGGAGAUAAACCGAGUCUCAGGGAAGCAGAAUACAAUAGUCAGCUACCUGCCCCUCAGCCACAUCGCAGCCCAGCUCACAGACAUCUGGAUCCCCAUCAAGAUUGGGGCACUCACUUUCUUUGCUCAACCAGAUGCACUCAGGUGUUCACCUGCUCCAUCCCACACAGGGCACCUUGGUGUACACGCUUCAAGAAGUGAAGCCUACACUUUUCAUGGGGGUGCCACGCAUCUGGGAAAAGAUGCAGGACACCAUCAAGGAAAACGUGGCCAGGUCCUCCCGCCUGAGAAAGAAGGCAUUUGCAUGGGCGAAGAUGCUUGGCUUGAAGGUCAACACCAAGCGGAUGCUGGGGAAGCGAGACAUCCCCAUGAAUUACCGCAUGGCAAAGGCCCUUGUGUUCGCGAAGGUCAGGACCUCCCUGGGCUUAGACAAUUGCCACGCCUUCUUCAGCAGCGCUUCGCCCCUCUCUCAGGAUGUCUCAGAGUUCUUUCUCAGCCUGGACAUCCCCAUUGGUGAGAUCUACGGGAUGAGUGAGUGCUCCGGACCGCACACAGUCUCCAACAAGAGUGUCUACAGAGUUUUGAGCUGUGGCAAGGUCCUGAGUGGCUGUAAGAACAUGCUGUACAACCAGAACAAAGAAGGCGUGGGUGAGGUGUGCAUGUGGGGCCGGCAUGUCUUCAUGGGCUACCUGAACAAGGAGGAGGCCACAUUGGAAGCACUGGAUGAAAAUGGCUGGCUGCACUCUGGGGACAUUGGCCGCCUGGACAGCCAUGAUUUCCUUUAUAUCACUGGCCGCAUCAAAGGCUUGUCCCCAGGCCAAUCUGUUGGAGACAUUUUUCUCAUCUUCCCAGAAGACUCUGACUUGACAAGCUGACCAAGGCUAACCAGACACAUGGUGCCCCUGUGGGGACCCUGAGGACUCAGAUGUUGGGAGAAUGCAGGAAAAUCCUGAUAACCGCUGGUGGUGAGAAUGUAUCCCCCAUCCCCAUUGAGACCCUGGUAAAGGAGAAGAUCCCCAUUAUCAGCCACGCCAUGCUGGUGGGCGACAAGGCCAAAUUCCUGUGCAUGCUGCUGACGCUGAAGUGUGAAACAGACCGGAAGAGCGGAGAGCCCUUGAACAAGCUGAGCGUGGAGGCCAAAAGCUUCUGCCAGAUGCUGGGUAGCCAAGCAACCACUGUGUCGGACAUUUUGAAGAGUCGAGACCAAGUGGUCUACACGGCCAUCCAAUAUGGCAUAGACAUCGUGAAUCAGCAAGCGAUGUCUGACUCACAUAGAAUCCGAAAGUGGAUCAUCUUGGAGAAGGACUUUUCGAUCCAGGGUGGGGAGCUGGGACCGACAUCAAAACUUAAGAGAAGUGUGAUAACCCAGAAAUACAAAGCACAGAUUGACAGCAUGUACUUGUCAUAAUGACUGUGACAGGAGCGUCCUCCUGUCCUCAUGCCUCCAACAGAUCAGCCUCAUCUCAAUGGAGAACAUCGUCCCCACCAGGAAGCCACACCCCCGAUGCUCUGCUUCCAAAGAAGGCAGCCCACAGUAGAGACAACAAGCCUUCCAGGCGUAAGUGGAAAGUGGAAAGUGGAGUGACUUCAUGCAGCUGUGACUGGCUCUUCCUCUCCUAGGACUCUGUAUUCGAAAAGAGGUGUGAACACCCAGAGCCCAAAACACCUUCCUGGGAGCAGCAUGGAAACCCCUCAAAUAAGUAGUCAGGAGCCUCA
Molecule: RNA transcript, 2816 nt
Organism: Mus musculus (house mouse)
Lineage: Eukaryota; Metazoa; Chordata; Mammalia; Rodentia; Muridae
Gene: Acsbg2
Gene name: acyl-CoA synthetase bubblegum family member 2
Exons: 16
Source: RefSeq, marked provisional